Molecule: ribosomal RNA, 253 nt
Filed under: uncultured bacterium
Lineage: Bacteria
Description: partial 16S ribosomal RNA
Rfam family: Bacterial small subunit ribosomal RNA
Source: RNAcentral
UACAGAGGGUGCAAGCGUUAAUCGGAUUUACUGGGCGUAAAGCGUGCGUAGGUGGUUUGUUAAGUCAGGUGUGAAAUCCUGGGGCUCAACCUCAGAAUGGCGCUUGAUACUGGCGAACUCGAGUGUGGUAGAGGAUAGUGGAAUUCCCGGUGUAGCGGUGAAAUGCGUAGAUAUCGGGAGGAACAUCAGUGGCGAAGGCGGCUAUCUGGACCAACACUGACACUGAGGUACGAAAGCGUGGGUAGCAAACAGG